RNAcentral lists this ribosomal RNA (496 nucleotides) under uncultured bacterium. RNAcentral's name for it is "partial 16S ribosomal RNA". It matches the Rfam family "Bacterial small subunit ribosomal RNA", at positions 28 to 506 of the family's 1533-position model. The record is from RNAcentral.
GAUGAACGCUGGCGGCGUGCCUAAUACAUGCAAGUCGAACGAACAGACGAGAAGCUUGCUUCUCUGAUGUUAGCGGCGGACGGGUGAGUAACACGUGGAUAACCUACCUAUAAGACUGGGAUAACUUCGGGAAACCGGAGCUAAUACCGGAUAAUAUUUUGAACCGCAUGGUUCAAAAGUGAAAGACGGUCUUGCUGUCACUUAUAGAUGGAUCCGCGCUGCAUUAGCUAGUUGGUAAGGUAACGGCUUACCAAGGCAACGAUGCAUAGCCGACCUGAGAGGGUGAUCGGCCACACUGGAACUGAGACACGGUCCAGAAUCCUACGGGAGGCAGCAGUAGGGAAUCUUCCGCAAUGGGCGAAAGCCUGACGGAGCAACGCCGCGUGAGUGAUGAAGGUCUUCGGAUCGUAAAACUCUGUUAUUAGGGAAGAACAUAUGUGUAAGUAACUGUGCACAUCUUGACGGUACCUAAUCAGAAAGCCACGGCUAACUACGU